RNAcentral lists this ribosomal RNA (431 nucleotides) under uncultured bacterium. Its description in RNAcentral is "partial 16S ribosomal RNA". It matches the Rfam family "Bacterial small subunit ribosomal RNA", at positions 338 to 795 of the family's 1533-position model. The record is from RNAcentral.
CCUACGGGAGGCAGCAGUAGGGAAUAUUGGGCAAUGGAGGCAACUCUGACCCAGCCAUGCCGCGUGCAGGAUGAAGGCGUCAGCGUUGUAAACUGCUUUUAUCAGGGAAGCGGUACCUGAGGAAUAAGCACCGGCUAACUCCGUGCCAGCAGCCGCGGUAAUACGGAGGGUGCAAGCGUUGUCCGGAUUUAUUGGGUUUAAAGGGUGCGUAGGUGGUAUUCUAAGUCUGGUUUGAAAGCUGGUGGCUUAACCAUCAGAUGUGGCUGGAAACUGGAGUACUUGAAUGCGUUGGCGGUAGCCGGAACGGGUCAUGUAGCGGUGAAAUGCAUAGAUAUGACCCAGAACACCGAUUGCGAAGGCAGGCUACUACGAGGAUUGACACUGAGGCACGAGAGCAUGGGUAGCGAACAGGAUUAGAUACCCUUGUAGUC